This 72-nucleotide transfer RNA is filed under the name Stenomitos frigidus ULC18. It matches the Rfam family "tRNA". Rfam says of the family: Transfer RNA (tRNA) molecules are approximately 80 nucleotides in length. Lineage: Bacteria; Bacillati; Cyanobacteriota; Cyanophyceae; Leptolyngbyales; Leptolyngbyaceae. The record is from Rfam by way of RNAcentral.
GCGGGUAUAGUUCAGUGGUAGAACGUCAGCUUCCCAAGCUGAAUGUCGUCGGUUCGAGCCCGAUUACCCGCU